UACGAGGGGGGCGAAGCGUUGUUCGGAAUUAUUGGGCGUAAAGGGUGCGUAGGCGGCCUGACAAGUCUGAUGUGAAAUCCCGUGGGCUCAACCCAGGGCCUGCAUCGGAAACUGUCGGGCUUGAGUAUGGGAGAGGUGAGUGGAAUUUCCGGUGUAGCGGUGAAAUGCGUAGAAUAUCGGAAGGAACACCUGUGGCGAAAAGCGGCUCACUGGACCAUUACUGACGCUGAGGCACGAAAGCUGGGGGAGCAAACAGG
RNAcentral lists this ribosomal RNA (257 nucleotides) under uncultured bacterium. RNAcentral describes it as "partial 16S ribosomal RNA". It matches the Rfam family "Bacterial small subunit ribosomal RNA", at positions 524 to 776 of the family's 1533-position model. The record is from RNAcentral.